GACGAACGCUGGCGGCGUGCUUAACACAUGCAAGUCGAACGGUGAAGGGAUCAGCUUGCUGGUUCUGGAUGAGUGGCGAACGGGUGAGUAACACGUGAGUAACCUGCCCCCUUCUUCUGGAUAACCGCAUGAAAGUGUGGCUAAUACGGGAUAUUCUGCGCCUGCUGCACGGUGGGUGUGGGAAAGAUAUUGUUUCGGUGGGGGAUGGGCUCGCGGCCUAUCAGCUUGUUGGUGGGGUGAUGGCCUACCAAGGCGGUGACGGGUAGCCGGCCUGAGAGGGUGGACGGUCACACUGGGACUGAGACACGGCCCAGACUCCUACGGGAGGCAGCAGUGGGGAAUAUUGCACAAUGGGCGCAAGCCUGAUGCAGCGACGCCGCGUGAGGGAUGGAGGCCUUCGGGUUGUGAACCUCUUUCGCCAGUGAAGCAGGCCUGUCCCUUGUGGGUGGGUUGACGGUAGCUGGAUAAGAAGCGCCGGCUAACUACGUG
This 489-nucleotide ribosomal RNA is filed under the name uncultured bacterium. RNAcentral describes it as "partial 16S ribosomal RNA". It matches the Rfam family "Bacterial small subunit ribosomal RNA", at positions 28 to 507 of the family's 1533-position model. The record is from RNAcentral.